AGCAAUGAAAAUUAGCAAAAAAAAUAACCCUUCUUUUCUCGACUUUUUAAAUCUAUCAUAAACAAUUAAAAUUGUCAAUAACUAAAAUGGAGCCCACGACCGGGCUCGAACCGGCGACCUCCGCCU
This 126-nucleotide antisense RNA is filed under the name Caldicellulosiruptor owensensis OL. RNAcentral describes it as "Bacterial antisense RNA HPnc0260". It matches the Rfam family "Bacterial antisense RNA HPnc0260". Lineage: Bacteria; Bacillati; Bacillota; Caldicellulosiruptorales; Caldicellulosiruptoraceae. The record is from Rfam by way of RNAcentral.